UACAGAGGGUGCAAGCGUUAAUCGGAGUUACUGGGCGUAAAGGGCGCGUAGGCGGAUAUUUAAGUCGGAUGUGAAAUACCUGAGCUUAACUUGGGAACUGCAUUCGAUACUGGAUGUCUAGAGUAUGGUAGAGGAAAGUGGAAUUCCCGGUGUAGCGGUAAAAUGCGUAGAUAUCGGGAGGAACAUCAGGGCGAAGGCGGCUUUCUGGCCCAAUACUGACGCUGAGGCGCGAAAGCGUGGGGAGCAAACAGGAUUAGAUACCCGUGUA
Molecule: ribosomal RNA, 268 nt
Filed under: uncultured prokaryote
Description: partial 16S ribosomal RNA
Rfam family: Bacterial small subunit ribosomal RNA
Source: RNAcentral